RNAcentral lists this ribosomal RNA (1034 nucleotides) under Staphylococcus pseudintermedius. RNAcentral describes it as "partial 23S ribosomal RNA". It matches the Rfam family "Bacterial large subunit ribosomal RNA", at positions 161 to 1191 of the family's 2925-position model. The record is from RNAcentral. Lineage: Bacteria; Bacillati; Bacillota; Bacilli; Caryophanales; Staphylococcaceae.
AAUACAUAGCAUGCAAGAAGGCAGACCCGGAGAACUGAAACAUCUUAGUACCCGGAGGAAGAGAAAGAAAAAUCGAUUCCCUGAGUAGCGGCGAGCGAAACGGGAAGAGCCCAAACCAAUAAGCUUGCUUAUUGGGGUUGUAGGACACUCUGUACGGAGUUACAAAAGAAUUUGUUAGACGAAUAACCUGGAAAGGUUAAUCAGAGAAGGUAAUAAUCCUGUAGUCGAAAACGAAUUCUCUCUUGAGUGGAUCCUGAGUACGACGGAGCACGUGAAAUUCCGUCGGAAUCUGGGAGGACCAUCUCCUAAGGCUAAAUACUCUCUAGUGACCGAUAGUGAACCAGUACCGUGAGGGAAAGGUGAAAAGUACCCCGGAAGGGGAGUGAAAGAGAACUUGAAACCGUGUGCUUACAAGUAGUCAGAGCCCGUUAAUGGGUGAUGGCGUGCCUUUUGUAGAAUGAACCGGCGAGUUACGAUCUGAUGCAAGGUUAAGCAGAAAAUGUGGAGCCGUAGCGAAAGCGAGUCUGAAUAGGGCGAAUGAGUAUUUGGUCGUAGACCCGAAACCAGGUGAUCUACCCUUGGUCAGGUUGAAGUUCAGGUAACACUGAAUGGAGGACCGAACCGACUUACGUUGAAAAGUGAGCGGAUGAACUGAGGGUAGCGGAGAAAUUCCAAUCGAACUUGGAGAUAGCUGGUUCUCUCCGAAAUAGCUUUAGGGCUAGCCUCAAGUGAUGAUUAUUGGAGGUAGAGCACUGUUUGGACGAGGGGCCCCUCUCGGGUUACCGAAUUCAGACAAACUCCGAAUGCCAAAUAAUUUAACUUGGGAGUCAGAAUGUGGGUGAUAAGGUCCAUAUUCGAAAGGGAAACAGCCCAGACCACCAGCUAAGGUCCCAAAAUAUAUGUUAAGUGGAAAAGGAUGUGGCGUUGCCCAGACAACUAGGAUGUUGGCUUAGAAGCAGCCAUCAUUUAAAGAGUGCGUAAUAGCUCACUAGUCGAGUGACACUGCGCCGAAAAUGUACCGGGGCUAAACAUAU